Lates calcarifer (barramundi perch) is the source of this 2107-nucleotide long non-coding RNA. RefSeq lists it as uncharacterized. NCBI's taxonomy places the organism in Eukaryota, Metazoa, Chordata, Actinopteri, Centropomidae. The transcript is spliced from 2 exons. The record is from RefSeq and is a predicted model, not a curated record.
UAAUGUUAAUAAAAAUCCAUUAAAUAUGUCGAGAUAUGUCAGGCGAACUCCAGGCGAAGCGAAAAUUCUAAUACACGGACGCGAAAAGAUUCGAUUUCGGCUGCGCGGACCCGAGGCGAAGACGCAUCCGUAGAAUGUAAUAAAAACUGAGCGAAGAACUUUCGCGCCUGUGUCGCGCUACAUAGCUACAGAGAAAUCAUCGCCGGGAGACCGGAGAACGGAGGAGAACGAGAUUUGGAAGUCGGGAUUUCUGGCUAAUAAACAUCGCCACGGUCACAUAACUACAUCGUUAGCUUGUUAGCUGUUGGUGGCUAAUGUGAACUUGAGAACAGUUCUACAGACGAACGCGAAGCUAAAAACCCGCUUCGCCUUCAGUGUGUAGACGAAGACUUGCUGCUAAAGGCCAUAAAUCACCGCAGAUGACCCAGACGUCUAAUAAACAGCUUAAAUCUCUUUGACAGCCUCACAACACGCAGCUAAUAUCUGCCUUUGUCUCCACGUCUGUACCUUUCUGUUCACCGAGGACGCAGAUUAACUCGGCGCCGCAUCCAUCAUCCACCCGUCGGUCUGUCUUCAGCCUGAUGAGUCGGUGUUGGACUGGAAACUGGAAACACACCAGCGACGAUCUGAGUCAAACCAGUUCAGUCCCAGUCAGAGAACAAGGAGCUUCACCCAUCCCGAGAGGACAUGUUGAUUAGAAGAAAAUAAAAAAAUAAAAGAAUAAAAAGCUGGUGGCACGAUUCAGAAAUCCUCCGGAUGAGUCGGUGUUUUUCUGCUUUCAAUCCUCAGCCUCGGUCACAUUUAGGGAAUAAAAACAACAUGUCGGAGCUUUUCUGUAUUAAAACCAGAUGAUUCCUGUCUGCAGCUUCUGGUUUCUGUGAAUCCGGGAUGGUGAUGAACUACAUUACACGAUGGCUGGUGCGGAAGAUCUGCUCCUCUCCAGAGUCUGACCCAUUUUAGUCUUUGUCCUCUGGAAGGGGGGAGGGAUGGAGCCUGCAUCCCAAAAUCAGUCUACAACACUAAUUAUUACCACUGAUCAUCGGCUGUAAAAUAAAUCCACAUGCACAUUAAAUAUGUGAGAAAAUGCUCCUUCUUUCUCCUUUAAACCGCUGGACUUUAAAUAAAAACCCCAGUUUAUAUAAUGAGAUUAAAGGCAGCAGCUUCAUCAAUAAUUAAAGAUGUUGAACAUGAACAAUACAUGUGAAAGAACUGGCUCAGAUUUACAGAAAUGUUCAUAAAGAGAUCAAUAGUUCACUUUAUUAACCCACUGCAGAUAUGACACAUAUAGAAGCUCAGUGUCGGCCAAGAAUAUUACAUUAUUCCACACAGAGUCAAAAUCAUAAAAUGCUAGUUCAAAUUUUUGUCUGCUUCAAAUGUAUGGAAGCCUUUUUCAACCAGGAAAAAGAAACUAAAUUAAAUCACAUAUAUGCAAAAAAUAAUAAUGGUAAACCAAAAUUAUGAGAUACUAAGUAAAGAUUAUACAAAAUUAUGGAAACGUUUUGAUGCACUAGAUGAAAAUUUACAAAAUCUAAAGUUGUCAAAACUAAAUUUAACAGAAGAUUAUGAGUUUGAAAAUCAAAAUGAUGACGUAUGUCAAAGUUUCUACUUAACGUUAAUAUUUCAACUUAGUCUCUCUUAAGUUUGAUUUGUAAGUUCUUUAUUAUCAUUUUUCUUUUCCUGGUAGAAAUGAGUUUCCAUGAUAUGAAACAAAUUAAUGUUCGAAUCAAACCAAAUGUAAAUUAAUACAGGGUGUUGUUUCAAUAUUCUAUUAAAAAAAUUUGAAGGAAAUUUUGGAGCCUUUACAAAAAAAUGAAACUAUUUUAAUGUGACCCUAUGACAAAAAAAAGAGUUAUAGAAUAACAGCAGAGUUAAUAUUUAAGUCAAAUUAUAAACUUUUAAAAAGGUGCUAUUUUUGUGUCUUAAAAUUUAAAACUCAAAAUGAAACAGACCAGCAGGAAGUUAAAUGUUGCAAAUCAUCAACUGUUUAAUUUUAAAAAGUGGAUGAAUGUGGAACAACUACGCUCGCUCUAAAUAACUUUCAUUCAUGUGAAGGACCUGCAGGUCUCAUGACAUAAACAACAACUUUAAAAAUACAGUCAAGACAAAA